RNAcentral lists this long non-coding RNA (416 nucleotides) under Olea europaea subsp. europaea. Lineage: Eukaryota; Viridiplantae; Streptophyta; Magnoliopsida; Lamiales; Oleaceae. The record is from RNAcentral.
GUUUAAAAGAAUGGCUAGAGUGCCAUAUUCUAAUGCUGUGGGGUCAGUUAUGUAUCUAAUGAUUUGUUCUAGACCUGAUUUGGCAUUUGCAAUAAGUGUAUUGAGUAGAUACAUGUCUAAUCCUGGUGAGGUUCAUUGGGAAGCGAUAAAGUGGCUUCUAAGAUACAUUAAGGGAACUUGUGACCUAGGAAUUGAGUAUAGAAAAUAAUCUGAGGGUGUUAUCUUGAGGGGUUUCACUGAUUCUGAUUAUGCAGGUGAUAGGGAUAACAAAAAAUCGACUUCUGCCUAUGUAUACACUUUAUGUAAUUCCUGUAUAAGUUGGAAAUCACAAUUACAAAAGAUUGUUGCAUUAUCUUCAACUGAAGCAGAAUAUAUAGCUGCUACUGAUGCAAUUAAAGAGGGAAUUUGGCUAAAAG